GGUGCGGUGGCCAAGUGGUAAGGCGGCAGUCUGCAAAACUGCUAUUCGCGGGUUCGAUUCCCGCCCGCACCU
Elusimicrobium minutum Pei191 is the source of this 72-nucleotide transfer RNA. It matches the Rfam family "tRNA". From Rfam's summary of the family: Transfer RNA (tRNA) molecules are approximately 80 nucleotides in length. Their secondary structure includes four short double-helical elements and three loops (D, anti-codon, and T loops). NCBI's taxonomy places the organism in Bacteria, Pseudomonadati, Elusimicrobiota, Elusimicrobia, Elusimicrobiales, Elusimicrobiaceae. The record is from Rfam.